ACGCUCGACACUAAGGAGGCAGCAGUGGGGAAUAUUGCACAAUGGGGGAAACCCUGAUGCAGCGACGCCGCGUGGAGGAAGAAGGUCUUCGGAUUGUAAACUCCUGUUGUUGGGGAAAAAGAGGAUGGUACCCAACAAGGAAGUGACGGCUAACUACGUGCCUGCAGCCGCGGUAAUCUGAGCGGGCUGGCAAGGC
RNAcentral lists this ribosomal RNA (196 nucleotides) under uncultured bacterium. RNAcentral's name for it is "partial 16S ribosomal RNA". It matches the Rfam family "Bacterial small subunit ribosomal RNA", at positions 326 to 539 of the family's 1533-position model. The record is from RNAcentral.